CCAAGGCGACGACGGGUAGCCGGCCUGAGAGGGCGACCGGCCACACUGGGACUGAGACACGGCCCAGACUCCUACGGGAGGCAGCAGUGGGGAAUAUUGCACAAUGGGCGAAAGCCUGAUGCAGCGACGCCGCGUGAGGGAUGACGGCCUUCGGGUUGUAAACCUCUUUCAGCAGGGAAGAAGCGAAAGUGACGGUACCUGCAGAAGAAGCGCCGGCUAACUACGUGCCAGCAGCCGCGGUAAUACGUAGGGCGCAAGCGUUGUCCGGAAUUAUUGGGCGUAAAGAGCUCGUAGGCGGCUUGUCACGUCGGAUGUGAAAGCCCGGGGCUUAACCCCGGGUCUGCAUUCGAUACGGGCUAGCUAGAGUGUGGUAGGGGAGAUCGGAAUUCCUGGUGUAGCGGUGAAAUGCGCAGAUAUCAGGAGGAACACCGGUGGCGAAGGCGGAUCUCUGGGCCAUUACUGACGCUGAGGAGCGAAAGCGUGGGGAGCGAACAGGAUUAGAUACCCUGGUAGUCCACGCCGUAAACGUUGGGAACUAGGUGUUGGCGACAUUCCACGUCGUCGGUGCCGCAGCUAACGCAUUAAGUUCCCCGCCUGGGGA
This 601-nucleotide ribosomal RNA is filed under the name Streptomyces anulatus. RNAcentral's name for it is "bacterial SSU rRNA". It matches the Rfam family "Bacterial small subunit ribosomal RNA", at positions 268 to 879 of the family's 1533-position model. The record is from RNAcentral. Lineage: Bacteria; Bacillati; Actinomycetota; Actinomycetes; Kitasatosporales; Streptomycetaceae.